AAAGUGCGAUAACUCUGGUGAAUUGCAACUGGCGCGAAUCCUUGAACCUUUGAACGCAAAUUGUGCCCCGGCGUCAUGGCCGGGGCGCGCUCGUUUGAGCGUCGAAUGCAAACCAUCGCCGCGAGCUUCGCGCGCGACCGUGGGCCCUGCGGCUCGUCCGCACCGCCUCAAAACCGUCAUCGGCGCGACGGGACCAGGCUCCUAGCCCCCGAUCGAGUCGUCGUCGUUAAGAGGGAACCCUUCGAGAUGCGACGCUCCUUCGGAUCGGCCUGCGCCCCCUUCGUUUCGCGACCGGCCUCUUCUCCAACUCUCGACCUCAAAUCGAACGCGACCACCCGCCGAAUUUAA
Molecule: unclassified non-coding RNA, 348 nt
Filed under: uncultured fungus
Lineage: Eukaryota; Fungi
Description: sequence contains ITS1
Rfam family: 5.8S ribosomal RNA (bases 1-104)
Source: RNAcentral